CGGCAGUGUUAGAAAGGCACGAAAGACCUUUUUCAGCGUUACUUGCUCUCACAGAUUCUCAGCGCCCUAGGAGAAUAAAGUCUAUAAAAACUGACUUCAGCCUGCUGUCUCCUUUGUGAAGAUAUUUGCUGCAGAGUCUGAAAAACAGUUUUGUUCCAUGACAUUGGACUUAGGGGAGAUACAAGUUUUUCAAGGUAGAAGAUGUAUGUGGUGACCUUAAAGGAUUGCUGUUUAGUGUCACUCAAGAUCUACUAAGCAUCAUUUUUUGGAUGACUGUGGCAAAAGGAUAUCUGUACAAAACCAGUUCCUUUCUGAAGUUUAUAGUUGGGGCCCUGUUUUCAGACAGAAGAAAAGCUCUUCAACUACACAGAGAGGAGAGAUCCUGCCACCAUCAACUGUAUCAGAGCAGCUGCACUCCACAGCCCCAGGAUGCUUUUGAAACUUCAGUCAACGUGAAUUGUACCCUCUGGAGAUGUGAACAAUCCAUGUCACUUUACAUGGUGACCUCACUCAUUUUGUAGAACUUGUGCUUUGCCUUUUGGUGGGUUGAAAGAAUAUGAAAUAAAUGGAAAUUCUCAGAAGUUGAAAGGUUUAUU
This 596-nucleotide long non-coding RNA is filed under the name Bos indicus x Bos taurus (hybrid cattle). Its description in RNAcentral is "lncRNA (ENSBIXG00000011499.1)". The record is from RNAcentral. Lineage: Eukaryota; Metazoa; Chordata; Mammalia; Artiodactyla; Bovidae.